CACGGGGGGAGCAAGCGUUGUUCGGAAUCACUGGGCGUAAAGGGCGUGUAGGCGGUCAGGUAAGUGGGAUGUGAAAGCCCUCGGCUCACCCGAGGAUCUGCAUCUCAAACUGCCUGGCUUGAGUAUGGGAGAGGAUGAGGGAAUUCCUGGUGUAGCGGUGAAAUGCGUAGAUAUUGGGAGGAACACCAGUGGCGAAGGCGGCUCACUGGACCGGUACUGACGCUGAGAAGCGAAAGCAUGGGGAGCGAACAGG
This 253-nucleotide ribosomal RNA is filed under the name uncultured bacterium. RNAcentral's name for it is "partial 16S ribosomal RNA". It matches the Rfam family "Bacterial small subunit ribosomal RNA", at positions 524 to 776 of the family's 1533-position model. The record is from RNAcentral.